UGGGGAAUAUUGGACAAUGGGCGCAAGCCUGAUCCAGCCAUGCCGCGUGAGUGAUGAAGGCCCUAGGGUUGUAAAGCUCUUUCACCGGUGAAGAUAAUGACGGUAACCGGAGAAGAAGCCCCGGCUAACUUCGUGCCAGCAGCCGCGGUAAUACGAAGGGGGCUAGCGUUGUUCGGAUUUACUGGGCGUAAAGCGCACGUAGGCGGACUUUUAAGUCAGGGGUGAAAUCCCGGGGCUCAACCCCGGAACUGCCUUUGAUACUGGAAGUCUUGAGUAUGGUAGAGGUGAGUGGAAUUCCGGGUGUAGAGGUGAAAUUCGUAGAUAUUCGGGGGAACACCAGUGGCGAAGGCGGCUCACAGGACCAUUACUGACGCUGAGGUGCGAAAGCGUGGGGAGCAAACAGG
Molecule: ribosomal RNA, 404 nt
Filed under: Actinomycetes bacterium
Lineage: Bacteria; Bacillati; Actinomycetota; Actinomycetes
Description: Actinobacteria bacterium partial 16S ribosomal RNA
Rfam family: Bacterial small subunit ribosomal RNA
Source: RNAcentral